AGUCUCCGGACCCGAAGAACCAUGAGCUGAAGAAGAACCGGGAGCUGAAGAAGACGGGUCUAAACGACUACCAGGUUCACCGAACAUCUCUCUAUAGUGGAGAGUAAGUCUGUUCUUUCGAACAGUGUGGAAAAAAAAUUAAUUUUUAAAAUUACCAUCAACAGUAAUUAACAAAUUCUAUAAAUAGCAAAUUCUAUAAAUCUAGCUAAAUUCCCUACAUUUACCACCUAAUCAACACUAAUUAACAUAAAAUCAGUAAACCUAUCUAAAUUCCCUAC
This 278-nucleotide long non-coding RNA is filed under the name Brassica napus (rape). RNAcentral describes it as "long non-coding RNA (BNAP_LNC023437)". The record is from RNAcentral. Lineage: Eukaryota; Viridiplantae; Streptophyta; Magnoliopsida; Brassicales; Brassicaceae.